This 252-nucleotide ribosomal RNA is filed under the name uncultured bacterium. RNAcentral describes it as "partial 16S ribosomal RNA". It matches the Rfam family "Bacterial small subunit ribosomal RNA", at positions 524 to 776 of the family's 1533-position model. The record is from RNAcentral.
UACGUAGGGUGCAGGCGUUAAUCGGAAUUACUGGGCGUAAAGCGUGCGCAGGCGGUCUUUUAAGUCAGAUGUGAAAUCCCCGGGCUUAACCUGGGACUGCGUUUGAAACUGGAAGGCUUGAGUGUGGCAGAGGGGGGUGGAAUUCCACGUGUAGCAGUGAAAUGCGUAGAGAUGUGGAGGAACACCGGUGGCGAAGGCAGCCCCCUGGGCUAACACUGACGCUCAUGCAUGAAAGCGUGGGGAGCAAACAGG